Molecule: long non-coding RNA, 857 nt
Organism: Sarcophilus harrisii (Tasmanian devil)
Lineage: Eukaryota; Metazoa; Chordata; Mammalia; Dasyuromorphia; Dasyuridae
Exons: 3
Source: RefSeq, a predicted model, not a curated record
CAGCCUGGCCCUAAGUCUACCUUUCUAAUCUCCCUUUCUCCCUCUUAACCAGGUCCCCGGAUCCUUCAUUGAUCUAGCAGCAGUCAUGAAGAAGCCUUUCUCACCCAGCCAGCUCCCCCCAGGCAUAAGCGCAUUGGGCGUGCAGAAAGGAUUUACACCCUGGCCAAGGUCCUGGCCCUGCUCAGGGCAGGACCCUUCCCGUCUGCCAGCCGACCACCAGGAAGAUGCCACGUGAGUCAGACAGCGCGGCCCGAAAGGCCCGGGUCGGGAUUCCCACCCCGUAGUGCUGGCGGUAGAGAGAAGACUGCUGCCUCAUUAUGGGCUGCUGAAUCCCCUUCCCCAGCAGAGACCCUCACCCAGACAAGAAGAGCCUCCCAACUGAGACGCUCCCCAGCACCCAGCCCCCCUUCUCUCCCAUGUUUCACCAACGACCCAGCCUCUGCUUUCUCCCCCCCCAAAAAAAAGAAAGCCAUCACCUCCUGGAAGCCUUCCAUGAUGAGAGAUCCCCUCCCCCCCACUCCCCCCUCCCUUGACCCUGGCUUUUCCGCCCCCCCUCCCUCCAGCCCCCCUCCCACCCUCCCUCGUGUCAUGUCCCUCGGUUCUGGCCCCUGAAGCCCUUACAGAUUCCAAUUGCACUAACUAGUUCGUUUGCACUGAUGGGCGCGUGGUCCCCGCGAGUGUGCGAGUGCGUGUGCGUGUGCGUGUGUGUGUCGGUCCCGUCUCGGCCGGCCGGCUCCCCCAGAGCUCAGGCCAGUCCUCCACUUGCACCUCUGACAGUUUCUCCCCUGUUCCCCUCCCCCAGAGCCCCCGCCAGGGCUGGCUCUGCACACACUCAAAAUAAACACUGUUGACAGACA